CCCAUUGAGUCGGACGUGAUUAGAUCAAAUCUGGAACCUAUUGUAGAAACAUCUUUAAGGAGAUCCGGUAGAGUACCGCGUCAACCGGAUAGAUACUACAGUUUCUUAGUCUGGGAUGGGGAUCCAGUUGAACUCAAUGAGAACAAUGAGGAUUCGAUCACCUAUAUGGAUGCGAUGUAGAGAUCUGACUCUGAUAAGUGGUUGGAAGCCAU
Molecule: long non-coding RNA, 212 nt
Filed under: Elaeis guineensis (African oil palm)
Lineage: Eukaryota; Viridiplantae; Streptophyta; Magnoliopsida; Arecales; Arecaceae
Description: long non-coding RNA (EGUI_LNC040032)
Source: RNAcentral